Molecule: long non-coding RNA, 3492 nt
Organism: Oreochromis aureus
Lineage: Eukaryota; Metazoa; Chordata; Actinopteri; Cichliformes; Cichlidae
Source: Ensembl
GCCUUUUAAAGAACUGAGUUUAAUGUGUGAAUUAAGAAGUUGCACAGAAAGAAGGAAUAAAUAUACGGAUAGGGGGCAACCCUGCCUCACUCCACGCUUUAGAGAGAAUCUUGGGAAGUACCAGUGGCAAGCUUUAUGGAGCUGUUACUAUUGGAAUACAGUGUCCGAACGGCAUUACAGAAGGACUGACCAAACCCAAAUUUAUUUAAAGCAGUAAAAAUAAACUCAUGCUCUAAGGAGUCAAACGCCUUAUAAAAGUCUAAAAAAAGAAUAAGACUAUCAUCCUGUACAAGUUCUGGGUAAUCUAUUAUAUCUAAAAUUAAUCUUAUGUUGUUUGAGAUAUGACGAUUCUGCAUGAAACCAGACUGACUCUCAUCAAUAACUUUAUCUAAUACAGGUUUCAUUCUAUUAGCCAGAAUUUGUGCCAAUAUCUUAUAAUCAUUAUUCAGUAAAGAGAUUGGUCGCCAGUUGUCUAAGAGCAAAGGAUCCUUUCCUGGUUUUGGAAUGAGGGUGAUCAAACCUUGACAUAAAGUGGGAGGGAGUGCACCUCUAUCCAUACUUUCCUUAAAAACUUCUAAAAGAAAUGGGGCUAAACUGUCAGCGAACUGUUUGUAAAACUCGGCAGGAAGGCCGUCAGUUCCAGGUGAUUUGUUAAUCUUUAGAUGUUUUAUAGCAUCUGCAACCUCGAUCAAAGAAAUUGAUCUGUCGCAGAGCUGACUAUCCUCCUCAUUCAGCUGAGUAAUUUUGUCUAAAGAAUUAAAAAAAGUUAGACAAGCUUGUUGCUACAAAAUGUAUUAUCUGUGAGAGCUUUAUUCCAAUAAAGUUUAAUGAAUCUCUGAACUUCACAAAUCACUUCUUUAUGCUCAAGAAUGGUACUAUUUAGCUUCCAGUAAGAGGUUUUAGUGAUUAGGGAGGAUGACAACAGGAUUGAUAAACUAACCAUUUUGUGGUCUGAGAGUGGUGUAGGAUAAAUAUCUGUUUUAACUUUUUCUAAAUCUUUUGAGAUAAGCCAAAACUCGAUACGUGAGUGUCUGGUUUGAGUCUUAUUACACCAUGUAUAAGCUAUCUGAGAUGAAUGAGAAUCCCUCCAAGAAUCGAUUAAGUUGAAUCUUUGUGCAAAGAGUCUUAUGAAUGAGUUAGAGUCUGAACUUCUAGAAGACAAUCUGUCCAAAUAGCUGUUAAACACUGUAUUAAAGUCUCCACCAAAAUAAUGAAAGAAUUGGGAUAUUUAGAUAACCAGCGCAGUAGGCGCUCCUCCAACCUAUCAAAAUAUAGUUUAUUCUCCCUCUGACAGUUAAAACCAUACACAUUGACUAAAAUAUAGAUAGACUGAGCAGCCUCAACUAUUAGAAAAAUGUAAUGACCAUCUUUAUCUAUGUCAGAAUUCAAGAUUUUACCAUUAAAUCUUCCUUUAAGUAUGCAAACACCAGCAGCACGCUCUGUACCAUGGGACAUCCACAGAUCAUCUCCCCAUUGCGAUCUCCAAAAUGUUUUUUCUUGUUCUGUUGAAUGAGACUCUUGUAUAAAACAGAAAUCUGAGUUGAACUGCUUGCAAAACAAAAAAAUAGCCUUGCGUUUAACAUUGUUUCUUAAACCUCUUGCAUUUAAAGAAAUAACAGACAGAGACAUAAGGAUAGUAACAAAAAUUAAAAGUGACAAAUAAGAAAAAGCUUAGACCAAGUAAAUGAAGAACAGUUGAAUUGGGAACCUGGUCACUUAAGAGAGUCCUAUAUAAGAUGAGAACUGCAACCCCUGAGUAAGGAAAUUGUGAACUUGAAUAAUAAGAAGAAUACAAUAGUCUAAAACAAUAAAACCAAUGUGGUAAAAAAAAAAAAAAAAGAUAAAAAAAAUAAACGCUUCACAUAUGAGCAUUGAAAGGGAGCUUAUUAGAAAUUUACUUGCUCCAUUUAAAUAACUAAUUAUUCAAAAAAGAAUAAACUAAAAAGAAGCUUAUUCAGCUUGCUCAUAAUAUUUUCAACAAAAAUAUUGCAGCCAAACUCAAGACCAAUAAACUUAUAACAAAUAAACUGCAUCAAUUUAACUCUGAUCAUUUUAUGAGUCCAACAACAAAAACAAAAGAAAGAAAAAAGAACGGCAGUGAAACCAAGUUAAUCUUAAGAUACUUCAGUUUUCACCUCAAAAUACCUUGGAUCAAAUUAUAGGGGUGGAAAAAUCUCUUUUCCCUCCACUAAUGCACGACCUCCUACGAAGAACGCCAGCUUGUUUUCUUUGCGGGCCAGAGUCUGUUUCUUCGGGCGCGGUCGUCAGGGGACAGAUCCUCAGCCAGCUUUAAGUUGUUACCUUUCAGGUAGGUGGACUUCUUAGCAGCGCGCCAGACAGCAUCGCGGUGGAUCCUGGAUGUAAACUGAAUGAUGAUUCCCCCGGGUUGGUUGUUGUUGGAUUUCUUGGGACCGAUGCGGUGGACGGUGUCAACGACGUCGGGGAAUUUAUCUUGCAUCUCCGGUAGGACCGAUCUACAGACUUUGAUCAUCUCCUGCCGCACGUCCUGCUUGUCCCUCUCGGUCAGACCGUAGAGCUUCAGAUUCCAACGGCGUGAAUAGCUCUCCAGACAACAUCAAAUGACUCCUUAACAGCUGUGAUGUGUUCAGUGUUCUCUUGGACAGCUUUUUUCAUCUCGGAGAUGACUAUGGAGUUGUCACUCACCAUUUUUUCAAGAGUGUCCGACCUCGAGUUAAUCAACAUGGUAAGUGAUGAGAGCUGGGAGAGAACCGUAGAUGUCUCCGUAUCCGCGACUUUUCUUAGUUUACCAGCGGGAGAGGCACAUGGAGUGAUAGGGAGAGGGGGAAACUCUUCUUCCAUCCGUGAAUACUGAAGCGGUUCGGAAACUGCCUCCAAAUAGUCGUGCAUGGAGUCGAUGAGAGUAUUUUUAGUGUCGGCGGGCUUCUCAGUAGCGAGAGAAGACUGAGCAGCUUGGCUAACAUUAGCAAGUUUGCUAACGGAGCCGCUGUUAGCUUGGAACUUCUUAGAUUCGGUCUUUCUCUUCUCGGGUUUGCUCAUUUUGGUUCACAAAUAGAUACCAAAACUAGAAGUAAAGGAUGACUAUUGUGUAGGCGUAAAUAAAGUCUCUGUUCACUGUGUGUAAUAUAUAUUUAAAAAAAGGCCAGGUUCGCAGAGCUCAACAAUACGUGACUGUUCAGUGCGCCAUCUUGGGAGCCCCUCGACUAUCACUGGUCGUCCAUCUUUUAUACAGUCAUUGGUUACCAGAGUCAGCUGGGGAUUCAUGAACAUCAUCAGUGAUGUUUCUCCACAGCGGGCUCAUCAGUACCUGGUGACAGAAGGUCAAUCCAGCUCUGACUUGAGGCUGUUCAAGAAUCAGCUCCACUUGAUCUGGUUCCACCUCUACCACAGGCAGAGAAACACAGGGUGAGAUCUUCUCCUGCCAGUCAUCACGCUAUAACUGUUUCUAGAAUCGAUUCAAUUCAGAUUCACGAGGUCCCGAAUCGAUCGAUUUGAUCAGGGAGAGGAUGGACA